ACGGGGUAGUAAUGUGUCGGAACGUGCCCUCUGGACGGGGAUAGCGGCGGGAAACUGCCGGUAAUACCCGAUGAACUCGAGAGAGCAAAGGCGUGAUUCCGCCGGAGGAGCGGCCGACAUGGUAUUAGCUAGUUGGCGGGGUAACGGCCCACCAAGGCUGUGAUGCCUAGGGGAUGUGAGAGCAUGAUCCCCACCAUUGGGACUGAGACACUGCCCAGACACCUACGGGUGGCUGCAGUCGAGAAUCUUCGUCAAUGGGCGAAAGCCUGAACGAGCGACGCCGCGUGUGGGAUGAAGGCCUUUGGGUUGUAAACCACUGUCGAGGGGGAUGAAGGCAUUCAGGUCCUCCUGAAUGUUUGACAGAGCCCUGGAGGAAGCACGGGCUAAGUUCGUGCCAGCAGCCGCGGUAAUACGAACUGUGCGAACGUUAUUCGGAAUCACUGGGCUUACAGGGUGCGUAGGCGGCUUAGCAAGUCAGGUGUGAAAGCCCCCGGCUCAACCGGGGAACUGCGCUUGAAACUGCUGAGCUCGAGUCAGCUAGAGGUACACGAAACUUCCAGUGGAGCGGUGAAAUGUGUUGA
This 581-nucleotide ribosomal RNA is filed under the name uncultured bacterium. RNAcentral describes it as "bacterial SSU rRNA". It matches the Rfam family "Bacterial small subunit ribosomal RNA", at positions 102 to 694 of the family's 1533-position model. The record is from RNAcentral.